GUGGGGUGACUGCGUACCUUUUGUAUAAUGGGUCAGCGACUUAUAUUCUGUAGCAAGGUUAACCGUAUAGGGGAGCCGAAGGGAAACCGAGUCUUAACUGGGCGUUAAGUUGCAGGGUAUAGACCCGAAACCCGGUGAUCUAGCCAUGGGCAGGUUGAAGGUUGGGUAACACUAACUGGAGGACCGAACCGACUAAUGUUGAAAAAUUAGCGGAUGACUUGUGGCUGGGGGUGAAAGGCCAAUCAAACCGGGAGAUAGCUGGUUCUCCCCGAAAGCUAUUUAGGUAGCGCCUCGUGAACUCAUCUUCGGGGGUAGAGCACUGUUUCGGCUAGGGGGUCAUCCCGACUUACCAACCCGAUGCAAACUGCGAAUACCGAAGAAUGUUAUCACGGGAGACACACGGCGGGUGCUAACGUCCGUCGUGAAGAGGGAAACAACCCAGACCGCCAGCUAAGGUCCCAAAGUCACAGUUAAGUGGGAAACGAUGUGGGAAGGCUCAGACAGCCAGGAUGUUGGCUUAGAAGCAGCCAUCAUUUAAAGAAAGCGUAAUAGCUCACUGGUCGAGUCGGCCUGCGCGGAAGAUGUAACGGGGCUAAACUGUGCACCGAAGCUGCGGCAGCGACGCUUAUGCGUUGUUGGGUAGGGGAGCGUUCUGUAAGCCUGCGAAGGUGUCCUGUGAGGGAUGCUGGAGGUAUCAGAAGUGCGAAUGCUGACAUAAGUAACGAUAAUGCGGGUGAAAAGCCCGCUCGCCGGAAGACCAAGGGUUCCUGUCCAACGUUAAUCGGGGCAGGGUGAGUCGACCCCUAAGGCGAGGCCGAAAGGCGUAGUCGAUGGGAAACGGGUUAAUAUUCCCGUACUUGGUGUUACUGCGAAGGGGGGACGGAGAAGGCUAUGUUGGCCGGGCGACGGUUGUCCCGGUUUAAGCGUGUAGGCUGGUUUUCCAGGCAAAUCCGGAAAAU
RNAcentral lists this ribosomal RNA (959 nucleotides) under Salmonella enterica subsp. enterica serovar Kentucky. RNAcentral describes it as "partial 23S ribosomal RNA". It matches the Rfam family "Bacterial large subunit ribosomal RNA", at positions 588 to 1550 of the family's 2925-position model. The record is from RNAcentral. Lineage: Bacteria; Pseudomonadati; Pseudomonadota; Gammaproteobacteria; Enterobacterales; Enterobacteriaceae.